Molecule: ribosomal RNA, 98 nt
Filed under: uncultured bacterium
Lineage: Bacteria
Description: partial 16S ribosomal RNA
Source: RNAcentral
CACCGCCCGUCACACCAUGAGAGCUGUCUGUACCCAAAAUUAUCUUAGCCAACCUGAAAAGGGAGCGGAUACCUAAGGUAUGUAUGGUGAUUGGGGUG